GAUGAAGAACGCAGCGAAAUGCGAUAAGUAGUGUGAAUUGCAGAAUUCAGUGAAUCAUCGAAUCUUUGAACGCACAUUGCGCCCCUUGGUAUUCCGAGGGGCAUGCCUGUUCGAGCGUCAUUAUAACCCUCAAGCUCAGCUUGGUGUUGGGGCCUGCUGCAGUGGCAGCCCUUAAAAUCAGUGGCGGCGCCAUCUGGCUCUAAGCGUAGUAAUUCUUCUCGCUAUGGAGUCCUGGUGGAUGCUUGCCAUCAACCCCCAAUUUUUCUAUGGUUGACCUCGGAUCAGGUAGGGAUACCCGCUGAACUUAAGCAUAUCAAUAAGCGGAGGA
Molecule: unclassified non-coding RNA, 328 nt
Filed under: soil metagenome
Description: partial contains 5.8S ribosomal RNA, internal transcribed spacer 2, and large subunit ribosomal RNA
Rfam family: 5.8S ribosomal RNA (bases 1-120)
Source: RNAcentral